This 481-nucleotide ribosomal RNA is filed under the name uncultured bacterium. RNAcentral's name for it is "partial 16S ribosomal RNA". It matches the Rfam family "Bacterial small subunit ribosomal RNA", at positions 28 to 507 of the family's 1533-position model. The record is from RNAcentral.
GAUGAACGCUGGCGGCGUGCCUAACACAUGCAAGUCGAACGGAGAUUACGGACGUAAGUUUUCGGAUGGAAGCCUGUAAUUCUUAGUGGCGGACGGGUGAGUAACGCGUGGGCAACCUGCCCUAUACAGGGGGAUAGCAGCUGGAAACGGCUGUUAAGACCGCAUAAGUCGGUUAAAUCGCAUGAUUUUAUCGGGAAAUGAGCAAUCAGGUAUAGGAUGGGCCCGCGUCCGAUUAGCCAGUUGGCAGGGUAAAAGCCUACCAAAGCGACGAUCGGUAGCCGGACUGAGAGGUCGGACGGGCACAUUGGGACUGAGACACGGCCCAAACUCCUACGGGAGGCAGCAGUGGGGGAUAUUGCACAAUGGAGGAAACUAUGAUGCAGCGACGCCGCGUGAGUGAAGAAGUAUUUCGGUAUGUAAAGCUCUAUCAGCAGGGAAGAUGAUGACGGUACCUGACUAAGAAGCCCCGGCUAACUACGUG